GACAGAGGUGCCGAGCGUUAGGCGGAAUCACUGGGCUUAAAGCGUGUGUAGGCGGACUUCUAAGUACCUUGUGAAAUCCCCCGGCUCAACCCCGGAACUGCAUUGGAUACUGCCAUGCUUGAGCACUGGAGAGGAGACUGGAAUUUACGGUGUAGCAGUGAAAUGCGUAGAUAUCGUAAGGAAGACCAGUGGCGAAGGCGAGUCUCUGGACAGUUGCUGACACUGAGGCACGAAGGCUAGGGGAGCAAACGGG
This 253-nucleotide ribosomal RNA is filed under the name uncultured bacterium. Its description in RNAcentral is "partial 16S ribosomal RNA". It matches the Rfam family "Bacterial small subunit ribosomal RNA", at positions 524 to 776 of the family's 1533-position model. The record is from RNAcentral.